UUUUUAGCAUAAGUAUAUCCCAUGCAAUAUUUGGGAUAUGUUUAUACUAAAA
This is a non-coding RNA of Myotis lucifugus (little brown bat), 52 nucleotides long. The record is from Rfam. NCBI's taxonomy places the organism in Eukaryota, Metazoa, Chordata, Mammalia, Chiroptera, Vespertilionidae.